GGUGCAUGGUUGUCGUCAGCUCGUGUCGUGAGAUGUUGGGUUAAGUCCCGCAACGAGCGCAACCCUCGCCUCUAGUUGCCAGCAUUCGGUUGGGCACUCUAGAGGGACUGCCGGCGACAAGUCGGAGGAAGGUGGGGAUGACGUCAAAUCAUCAUGCCCCUUAUGACCUGGGCUACACACGUGCUACAAUGGGCGGUACAAAGGGCUGCGAACCCGCGAGGGGGAGCGAAUCCCAAAAAAGCCGCUCUCAGUUCGGAUUGCAGGCUGCAACUCGCCUGCAUGAAGCCGGAAUCGCUAGUAAUCGCGGAUCAGCAUGCCGCGGUGAAUACGUUCCCGGGCCUU
Molecule: ribosomal RNA, 342 nt
Filed under: uncultured Geobacillus sp.
Lineage: Bacteria; Bacillati; Bacillota; Bacilli; Caryophanales; Anoxybacillaceae
Description: bacterial SSU rRNA
Rfam family: Bacterial small subunit ribosomal RNA
Source: RNAcentral